This 328-nucleotide ribosomal RNA is filed under the name uncultured eubacterium EU2. RNAcentral describes it as "bacterial SSU rRNA". It matches the Rfam family "Bacterial small subunit ribosomal RNA", at positions 1 to 344 of the family's 1533-position model. The record is from RNAcentral.
GAUAGAGUUUGAUCCUGGCUCAGGACGAACGCCGGCGGUGUGCUUCACACAUGCAAGUCGAACGGGGUAGCAAUACCCAGUGGCGGACGGGUGAGUAACGCGUAGAAAUCUGCCUUGAGAUGGGGGAUAACAGUCCGAAAGGAUUGCUAAUACCGCAUAUGUAUGUGCCCGGACACGGGCGUAUAUGAAAGGAGUAAUCCGUCUUAAGAUGAGUCUGCGUCCGAUUAGCUAGUUGGUAGGGUAAAGGCCUACCAAGGCGACGAUCGGUAGCUGGUCUGAGAGGAUGAUCAGCCACAAUGGGACUGAGAUACGGCCCAUACUCCUACGG